UUCCUGAUUAUAUUACAGCCAUCUGAUGAGAUCCUUAAGCAAGAUCGAAACCGGUCAUGGUUGCUUAUACUUGAA
Molecule: non-coding RNA, 75 nt
Filed under: Philodina roseola
Lineage: Eukaryota; Metazoa; Rotifera; Eurotatoria; Philodinida; Philodinidae
Source: RNAcentral